This 468-nucleotide ribosomal RNA is filed under the name uncultured bacterium. RNAcentral describes it as "partial 16S ribosomal RNA". It matches the Rfam family "Bacterial small subunit ribosomal RNA", at positions 28 to 507 of the family's 1533-position model. The record is from RNAcentral.
GACGAACGCUGGCGGCGUGCUUAACACAUGCAAGUCGAACGGAAAGGCCCUGCUUUUGUGGGGUGCUCGAGUGGCGAACGGGUGAGUAACACGUGAGUAACCUGCCCUUGACUUUGGGAUAACUUCAGGAAACUGGGGCUAAUACCGGAUAGGAGCUCCUGCUGCAUGGUGGGGGUUGGAAAGUUUCGGCGGUUGGGGAUGGACUCGCGGCUUAUCAGCUUGUUGGUGGGGUAGUGGCUUACCAAGGCUUUGACGGGUAGCCGGCCUGAGAGGGUGACCGGCCACAUUGGGACUGAGAUACGGCCCAGACUCCUACGGGAGGCAGCGGUGGGGAAUAUUGCACAAUGGGCGGGAGCCUGAUGCAGCAACGCCGCGUGCGGGAUGAUGGCCUUCGGGUUGUAAACCGCUUUCGCCUGUGACGAAGCGUGAGUGACGGUAAUGGGUAAAGAAGCACCGGCUAACUACGUG